CUUCCUUUUGUUCUGGAGGAGAGCAGGGAGGGUUUGUGAUCCCCCCAGCACAGAGCGCAGGGACCCCAUCCCUGCCUGCUUGUGGCACUGCCUUCAUCCUCCUCCUCCUCCUCCUCCCCCACGUGGCUGCAGCUGGGCCCGAGCUCCCUCACUUCGCAGAAUCUCGGGGCUUGGAAGGGACCUCCUGGGGUCGUCGAGUCCAACCUCCUGCCAAAGCAGCUUCCCUACGCCGGGUCGCUUAGUGCUUAAAUGCGCUAAUUGCCAUCUAAUCGCGCUUUCCCCUGGACGCGGCCCUGCAGCGCUGGCUGAGGGGGGUCUGCAGCCCCACAUCAUGGCAUCUCCCUCCUCCCCCUGCUUGCAGAUCCGCUUUUUGCCUCGCUUGUGCCCUUUUCUCCCCAGUUGUGCUGUGCCACCUUUGCCCGCCCGCAGCUCGCUGUGAGCCCGUCCUGCCUGGGUUGGUGCUGCCGCUUCCCGAAGCUCAGCGGGUGCGCAGGGCAGCAGGGGCAGCUCGGCUGGGUUUAUAUUUGACCCCGUGCAGGAAAACAGAGAGAAAAAUCCGUGUUUUUUCUCUCAUUUUUGGCGCUCGUUUCCUGUAAGGCACCGCGCGGCCGGGCACCGAGCCGUAAUUACACAGCAGGAGGGGGUUUGUUUGUAAAGGAGGGGUGAUUCACGGCGGCUGGAAAGGGUUAACAGCCCAAAAUGACAUGGGUUGAAGGGGAGGACAAUAAACAGGAAGCUGUGCCCAAAGCUGCACUUAUCGCGGUGACUCAGGUCGGCGCCCGGCUUCGUUACCGGCGGCUUAAUUACACCGUUGGUUUGGAAACGGUGCCGGGGCUCGAGUGGCUGGAGGGAGGAGGGCUGGGGUUGGUGGGCAGCCUUGGGUUGGGUCGCGUGGCUGAACUGGGAGCUCCUUCCUGCAGGAAGGGGAGCCUGGGGCGGUGGGAGCAGCCCCGGAUUUGGGUACGGAGUGAGAACUGGGGCGGCUCUCGUGGGAUCCGGCACAGCAGCGGGGUGCGAUGCUGAUGGGCUGAGGCUUGGCCUUGUCACAGGACUGACUUCUUUGGGCUGUGCCGGAGAUGCUGGAUGAGGUGUUUGAUGCUGGAUGAGGUGUUUGAAUGGAGCAUCGCCUCCACGGCUCAAUCAAACACCCCGGGGGCAGCAGCUGGAGGAUCCCUGCAUUUCCUUUUGCUUGUCAGUAGAAUAAAAACCCGGUUAUUCUCAGGGUGGCCGCUUGUCUGUAAGGACCUGACAGGGCUGCCCUGCCGUGCCGGGUGAUUCCUGGGAGCGCUCCUUACCUCUGAGCUGACUCACACUGUGGGAUCCGUGUGGGUAACCCAGAUUUCAGCAGGGAUCUGAGGGCUGUGGUGCUGGCAGGAUCCCGUUCAAGAUCGGGCAGCCCAAGAAACAGAUUGUACCCAAGACAGUGGAGAGAGACUUUGAGAGGGAAUAUGGGAAGCUGCAGCAAUUGGAAGAGCAGACCAAAAAACUUCAGAAGGAUAUGAAGAAAAGCACAGAUGCAGAUUUGGCCAUGUCCAAAGCAGCGGUGAAGAUCUCCUCAGACCUGCUGGCCAACCCGCUGUGUGAGCAGGACGCCGCCUUCCUGGAGAUGGUCACCGCCU
Molecule: non-coding RNA, 1619 nt
Organism: Meleagris gallopavo (turkey)
Lineage: Eukaryota; Metazoa; Chordata; Aves; Galliformes; Phasianidae
Source: RefSeq, a predicted model, not a curated record